AUAGCACUGAGCCGUAUGCAAAUGAUUCCUUGCCCGUCCUACUCAAUAUAAAUUACACUACGCUUGCCCGGAUUUCGCAGUCAAGUAAAGCUAGGCUUGACACUUAGAAAAUUUUUGGCUGAUCGAAAACAUUUUCCGUCAUAGAUGGACUUAGAAAGGUUCAAAACGCAUAUUAACAGAGAUAGGUUUGGCUCAGGGGAAUUUUAAAGCAC
Paramuricea clavata is the source of this 212-nucleotide non-coding RNA. NCBI's taxonomy places the organism in Eukaryota, Metazoa, Cnidaria, Anthozoa, Malacalcyonacea, Plexauridae. The record is from the annotation of a GenBank genome assembly.